GAAUUUUGGACAAUGGGCGAAAGCCUGAUCCAGCAAUGCCGCGUGCAGGAUGAAGGCCUUCGGGUUGUAAACUGCUUUUGUACGGAACGAAAAGCUUUUGGUUACUACCCUGGAGUCAUGACGGUACCGUAAGACUAACCACCGGCUUACUAAGUGCCAGCAACCGGGGUAAUACGUAUGGUGCAAGCGUUAAUCGGAAUUACUGGGUGGAAAGCGUGCGCAGGCGGUUUUGUAAGACAGAGGUGAAUUCCCCGGGCUCAACCUGGGAACUGACUUUGUGACUGCAAGGCUAGAGUACGGCAGAGGGGGGUGGAAGUCCGCGUGUAGCAGUGAAAUGCGUAGAUAUGCGGAGGAACACCGAUGGCGAAGGCAACCCCCUGGGCCUGUACUGACGCUCAUGCACGAAAGCGUGGGGAGCAAACA
Molecule: ribosomal RNA, 423 nt
Filed under: uncultured bacterium
Lineage: Bacteria
Description: partial 16S ribosomal RNA
Rfam family: Bacterial small subunit ribosomal RNA
Source: RNAcentral